This is a long non-coding RNA of Mustela lutreola (European mink), 2187 nucleotides long. RefSeq lists it as uncharacterized. NCBI's taxonomy places the organism in Eukaryota, Metazoa, Chordata, Mammalia, Carnivora, Mustelidae. The record is from RefSeq and is a predicted model, not a curated record. The transcript has 5 exons.
UUGGGUGACCAAGUGCUCCAGUGUGCCCAGGAGUGAAGCUUCCUGGUGUAGGGCACUUCGAUGACUGCACAAGAAAGGACUGCCACCGACCAGCUUAGAACAAUGCCCGUAUGAACUUACACCCAAAUGGCUGGGUAGCUCCAAGUCUCCAAGGCUGAAAAUCAAGUGUUGACCAGGCCGAGUCAUCCGCUGGAGAUUCUGGGACCCCAGAGUGGAGGCAGAGCCGUGGUGAGUCUGGGAACCGGCAUCUUCUGCAGACGCCACAGCCCAGGAGCAGGUCAUAAUACCAAAUAAAUGCCUUUGGGCAAGAAUGUUAGUUAGAUCGCAACAUCUGGAAGAGACUGAAAGAACCAGCUGACAUCGGGAAAUCAUUGUCCUAUUUUUGCCUCUGGCACCAACAAGCUCUGUGACCUUAAUGUCUCCGUGGAUGCCCCGGCAGGAUGAAGGCCUCGCUCAGCAGCCAGCCGCCUGUAGACACUGGCUUUUCCUACUCAGAUGGAACCAACAUGCUCCCUUAUUACUAUUAUUUUUAACUUUAAGUCUCAGAUCCCGAGGGCAAGGAGUUCUGCUGGCUUUUGAUCAGAUGACACCUUGACCUGGAUCCCGAGGCAUUUUGGUAGGUCUAGCUCUGAUGCUGAUUGCUGUGUGACCUUGAAACAGUCACUUCCCCUUUCUGGACCACAGCCGCCUCAUUUGGAAAACGGAGAGGUUGACCAGAGAGUCUCUAAGGUGGCUUCCGGACUUAAAGUAAGGUGUCUCUUACUUUAUAAAACCUGACAUCUGAAACAAUAAAUAAAAUCUACCCUCCCCAAAUAACGUUUUACUUAUGAGAAAGGCCAAUAAAGGUAAAACUGCUUGUAUUACACACAUGAAUUUUGAAAAAUAACUGCUUCAUUUUAGAAAUAGUUUGAUUUACAUGGAGCACUUCAAAUUCUCUUGUACUUAUAAUUGAUAAAAUUUUGUCUAGUUGGACAUUUCAGGGAUGGUUCUUUAUCCCUAGCAGCUGACCCUGCCACAUCCAUCAGAAAAAUUCAGCAGAAGCAUCUCCAUAAUGUUCAGCUGAAAUCUCUAAUGGGGGUGAUCAAAUCAGGCUUAAUGUUCGCUUUGGCGAACAGUCACUUGGAGAGCAUGUGUUGCUUUCUCAUUAUCAUUUUAUUUCUGCCAUUAGCCACAUUUAAGAAUAUAAAUCACUACUAAUAUCUUUUCAGAAUGAAGGUUAACCCUCUCACCUCAGAGCUGAUCAUCAUUGCAAGUGAGGAGGGGGGCCGUUGUGGGAGGAGGAGGGGACCCAGGGCAAAGAGAGCUUGUGUGGUGUGACCUUGGGUAAGUCACUUCCCUCCCUGGGACUCAGUUUCCUUAUAUGUAAAUGUGGGGUGCCUGCAGGUCUGACCCUGCUCUAUGAGAUUUCUGUACAAUAAUGUCAGCAGUCACUGGGAUGGUCGUGUGUGAGAAAGGUCUCCCUCCCGGCGUUUCGGAUGACUGCCUCCCCUUGGUUUAUUCCAGGGGGUGGGAAGCACACACACCCACUGUGUCCUUUCACUUGAGAAGGGAAACGUGGACAGCUUCAGCUCAAGUGCUUCCUGGGUGAAUCGUCGCCUGGUUUUCCUAUUUGGUCCUGCAGGAAUAGGGACAUGUCUGUUCUGGAAGCCUCAGGCAGCCUUCCUGCAGGACGCAGUGAAAAAAAAAUUUUUUUUUUUUAAAAGAUUUUAUUUAUUUGACAGAGAGAGACAGCAAGAGAAGGAACACUCAUGGAGGGAGUGGGAGAGGGAGAAGCAGGCUUCUCGCCGAGCAUGGAGCCAGAUGUGGGGCUUGAUCCCAGGACCCUGGGAUGCUUAACCCACUGAGCCACCCAGGUGCCCUGGGACUUAGUGAAAUCCAUACUCUGCCACACCGAGGCCGGGCAAGGAGUCCACGGGGGCACCGCAAGCUGCUCAUGUUUAAAGCCGGGUUUUAAAGCUGGGCUCUUCAGUCUCCCUGAUCUCUCAGUUACCUCCCUCCUGCGGUUUCCUAUUCCCUUGGUAGAGUCUUUUUUUCACGUUCUAGCCCCCCUUCAGCAGACUCUGGACCUCACCUGGGAAGAUGUUUGGGGCCAGCAUGUGAGGAAAAGUGCAGCCCUCCCAGGGGACCACCAUGGAGGGAGGCGUGGUGGUCUUCAGACCCCUCCGAGGAGGACAAGGUGGGUCCUUG